UGUGUAGGCGGAUUAAUAAGUCAGUGGUGAAAUCCUGCAGCUUAACUGUAGAACUGCCAUUGAUACUGUUGAUCUUGAGUAUAGUUGAGGUAGGCGGAAUGUGUUGUGUAGCGGUGAAAUGCUUAGAUAUAACACAGAACACCGAUUGCGAAGGCAGCUUACUAAACUAUUACUGACGCUGAGGCACGAAAGCGUGGGGAGCGAACAGGAUUAGAUACCCUGGUAGUCC
This 229-nucleotide ribosomal RNA is filed under the name uncultured bacterium. RNAcentral's name for it is "partial 16S ribosomal RNA". It matches the Rfam family "Bacterial small subunit ribosomal RNA", at positions 568 to 796 of the family's 1533-position model. The record is from RNAcentral.